AACGUAGGGUGCAAGCGUUAUCCGGAUUCACUGGGUGUAAAGCGCGUGCAGGUGGUCUCGUCAGUUGGACGUCAAAUCUCCCGGCUUAACUGGGAGAGGCCGUUCAAUACUGCGAGACUGGAGGGCAGGAGAGGGAGGUGGAAUUCCCGGUGUAGUGGUGAAAUGCGUAGAUAUCGGGAGGAACACCAGUGGCGAAGGCGGCCUCCUGGCCUGUUUCUGACACUGAGACGCGAAAGCUAGGGGAGCGAACGGG
RNAcentral lists this ribosomal RNA (253 nucleotides) under uncultured bacterium. Its description in RNAcentral is "partial 16S ribosomal RNA". It matches the Rfam family "Bacterial small subunit ribosomal RNA", at positions 524 to 776 of the family's 1533-position model. The record is from RNAcentral.